RNAcentral lists this ribosomal RNA (328 nucleotides) under uncultured eukaryote. RNAcentral's name for it is "partial 18S ribosomal RNA". It matches the Rfam family "Eukaryotic small subunit ribosomal RNA", at positions 1470 to 1796 of the family's 1831-position model. The record is from RNAcentral.
CCCUUAGAUGUCCGGGGCUGCACGCGCGCUACACUGAAGGAAUCAGCGUGCUAAAACCAUUGUCGAAAGGCAUUGGUAAACCCAUUAAAAUCCUACGUGAUUGGGAUCGGGAAUUGCAAUUAUUUCCCUUGAACGAGGAAUUCCCAGUAAGUGUGGGUCAUAAGCUCGCGUUGAUUACGUCCCUGCCCUUUGUACACACCGCCCGUCGCUGCCCGGGACUGAGCCGUUUCGAGAAAAGCGGGGACUGCUGCUGUCGGGGCUCUCGGGCCUUGGCUUCGGUGGAAACCGCUUUAAUCGCAGUGGCUUGAACCGGGCAAAAGUCGUAACA